RNAcentral lists this long non-coding RNA (202 nucleotides) under Gossypium raimondii (Peruvian cotton). Its description in RNAcentral is "long non-coding RNA (GRAI_LNC002834)". The record is from RNAcentral. Lineage: Eukaryota; Viridiplantae; Streptophyta; Magnoliopsida; Malvales; Malvaceae.
ACGCGCGAGGGGGAAGGCUGGCUCUGUUGCGGCGCUGGAGGCUCACCCUAGCUGCUAGGGUUUCGCUUGUAGCUUUGGGCUUAGGUGAUUUGGGCCAUUGGGUUUAGUGGGUCAGGCUGGUAUUGGGUUAACAGUUUAGGCUUGGGACUUUGGAUUUUGUAAUCGGGUUUGGGCUUAAUCUACUUGGUUUGUAAUUUGGACU